UCAACAUUUGUGGUGGUUGUGGCU
Molecule: non-coding RNA, 24 nt
Filed under: Arabidopsis thaliana (thale cress)
Lineage: Eukaryota; Viridiplantae; Streptophyta; Magnoliopsida; Brassicales; Brassicaceae
Source: RNAcentral